Non-coding RNA from Pelodiscus sinensis (Chinese soft-shelled turtle), 1563 nucleotides. Lineage: Eukaryota; Metazoa; Chordata; Testudines; Trionychidae. The record is from RefSeq and is a predicted model, not a curated record.
UGGAGAAAUGAUCUGAAGUAAAUAGAAUGAAAUUCAAUGUGUAAAAAAUUCCCUUUUGCUUAAGAAUUUGUCCGACUUUUUAUUUAAUGUGGACACUAUGGUUACUUUACCUAGACAUGAGGAAGAACUUUGUGAAGCUCAAAAGUUUGUCCCUUCCACCAACAGAAGUUGAUCCAAUAAAAAUGGAUUACACCAUCUGCUUUACAUCUUUUUUCUCUCCAAUGUUAUUCAGUAUCAUUGAUGCAUUGCUGGUUGAGGGAAAAGCUUUAAGAAGCAUUUGUCAGUGGCAUUGAAGUGAACGUAAUUUUACUUUAAGACCUCAACUAUUAUAAUGACAUUGCCUUGAUGGCUCAGUAUGGUGAAUCACUACAGAUGAUGGCUGAUUUGGUCAGGCAAGAAGCAGCAAAAACUGGUUAUAUUAACAACUCAGAUAAAAUUAAGUCCUCAAUCAUUACCUUUCAAGCUGCCCUCAAACCUGGAUUACAAUCAGCUAAGAAUUAACUUGUAUGAUGGGAGAUGCAACAAGUGACAAUUGUCAACUACCUGGAAACCAUCAAAGGCAAGGCUUGUGGAGAUCUGAAAGAUGUAUAUGGUUGUAUAGCAGUAGCUGACACCAUGAUCUGGGUCCCUCAGCAGCUUUUGUGGAGACUGUAAUAUCCAUCUUAUCAGAAAGCUGAAGAUUUAAUCAGUUAUACAAUCUUUAUGUCAUAGCAAUAAAAUGUGGGUGCUUAGGAAGGCUGAAAAGCAAACUGAUGUUUUUUAUUCUGAUUGUUUUCAUCAGCUAUUUCACUGUAAGUGGCAGGAGAAAAUUAGCAACAGGAUAUUCAUGGCUGAGCUUAGCAGUCACCUCCAUCAGCACUGAUUUGGUUUUGAAGGCUCUCUUAACUGGACGAUCAACAAAUUACAAAAACAGAAACAGUCUAGGGGAUGUUUGCCAGGCCCUGGUGUGAUCAAUGUAAAAUGCAAGCGCUCUGCAAACGUCGAGAGUGUGCCACGCAGUGUGCAAAGCAUCAGCAUGCGGUUUAGGAAAAAAGGCAGUGCUUCUGGCAGGUCUGGGAGAAGUCAAAUUUGAAGAAGCAUGGAGAGAAACUGUGGAGAGGCAACAGAUUGAGUGCAAGAUGGAAAAUGUGAGCUGGAAAAGGACUGUGACAGAAACAGAAGGAGUGUGUGUGGAGGAUAGAGGGCUAACAAGGCAAGGAGAGCAAUACAGAGGCAGGAGAUUAGGAAGUGUUUGGCAAAAAAAGAUUUGGAGGGAAUCAGAGAGGGAUGAAAAUUACUGUUGUUAUAAUGCUUACUAAAUGCACACUAGGUGCCUACUCAUACAGAGUAAACACAAAGACCUGUCCCAUAAAACAACAUUUCAACUUCAGACAGAGGUAACAAUAAAGCCUCAUCUGAUAUACAGUCAUGUUUCAAUGCGCAAGCAUACACUGAUGUACUUUUCAAAUAUGAAUGCAUGUAUGUACAUCAGAAUACUUAAAAUGUACAAAAGAACAUGUUCUGAAAAUAAGGAUGAUUAUACAUACAAAAUAAAAAGAAGUUACUCACCUUGUGCAGUAACGA